RNAcentral lists this ribosomal RNA (435 nucleotides) under uncultured bacterium. Its description in RNAcentral is "bacterial SSU rRNA". It matches the Rfam family "Bacterial small subunit ribosomal RNA", at positions 43 to 524 of the family's 1533-position model. The record is from RNAcentral.
CAGGCCUAACACAUGCAAGUCGAGCGGGCCCUUCGGGGUCAGCGGCGGACGGGUGAGUAACGCGUGGGAACGUGCCUUCUGGUCUGGAAUAACCCUGGGAAACUAGGGCUAAUACCGGAUACGCCCUUUUGGGGAAAGGUUUACUGCCGGAAGAUCGGCCCGCGUCUGAUUAGCUAGUUGGUGGGGUAACGGCCUACCAAGGCGACGAUCAGUAGCUGGUCUGAGAGGAUGAUCAGCCACACUGGGACUGAGACACGGCCCAGACUCCUACGGGAGGCAGCAGUGGGGAAUAUUGGACAAUGGGCGCAAGCCUGAUCCAGCCAUGCCGCGUGAGUGAUGAAGGCCUUAGGGUUGUAAAGCUCUUUUAUCCGGGACGAUAAUGACGGUACCGGAGGAAUAAGCCCCGGCUAACUUCGUGCCAGCAGCCGCGGUAAU